UUGGUAAAUUAAUUAAAGUUUCGACGGUUAGAGAUGAGCAUGCGUACCAUUAGUUAGUUGGUGAGGUAACGGCUCACCAAGGCAGCGAUGGUUAGGGGGCCUGAGAGGGUAAUCCCCCACACUGGUACUGAGACACGGACCAGACUCCUACGGGAGGCAGCAGUGAGGAAUAUUGGUCAAUGGGCGCAAGCCUGAACCAGCCGUGCCGCGUGCAGGAUGACUGCCCUAUGGGUUGUAAACUGCUUUUAUACAGGAAGAAACCAGCUUACGUGUAAGCUUUUGACGGUACUGUAUGAAUAAGCAUCGGCUAACUCCGUGCCAGCAGCCGCGGUAAUACGGAGGAUGCAAGCGUUAUCCGGAUUUAUUGGGUUCAAAGGGUGCGUAGGCGGGGCUUUAAGUCAGUGGUGAAAUCUUGCAGCUUAACUGUAAAAUUGCCAUUGAUACUGAAGUUCUUGAAUAUAGUUGAGGUAGGCGGAAUGUGUAAUGUAGCGGUGAAAUGCUUAGAUAUUACACAGAACACCGAUUGCGUAGGCAGCUUACUAAGCUAUUAUUGACGCUGAGGCACGAAAGCGUGGGGAGCGAACAGGAUUAGAUACCCUGGUAGUCCACGCUGUAAACGAUGAUCACUCGUUGUUGGCGAUACACAGUCAGCGACUAAAAAGCAUUAAGUGAUCCACCUGGGGAGUACGAUCGCAAGAUUGAAACUCAAAGGAAUUGACGGGGGCCCGCACAAGCGGUGGAACAUGUGGUUUAAUUCGAUGAUACGCGAGGAACCUUACCUGGGCUUAAAUGCAGGCCGACGAACCGGGAAACUGGUUUUUCUUCGGACGUCUUGCAAGGUGCUGCAUGGUUGUCGUCAGCUCGUGCCGUGAGGUGUCGGGUUAAGUCCCAUAACGAGCGCAACCCUUAUCGUUAGUUACCAGCGAGUCAUGUCGGGGACUCUAACGAAACUGCCGGUGUAAACCGAGAGGAAGGUGGGGAUGACGUCAAAUCAGCACGGCCCUUAUGUCCAGGGCUACACACGUGUUACAAUGGUCAGUACAAAGGGCAGCUACCUGGCAACAGGAUGCAAAUCUCUAAAACUGGUCUUAGUUCGGAUCGGAGUCUGCAACUCGACUUCGUGAAGUUGGAAUCGCUAGUAAUGGCGCAUCAGCAACGGCGUGGUGAAUACGUUCCCGGGCCUUGUACACACCGCCCGUCAAGCCAUGGAAGCUGGGGG
This 1219-nucleotide ribosomal RNA is filed under the name metagenome. RNAcentral's name for it is "bacterial SSU rRNA". It matches the Rfam family "Bacterial small subunit ribosomal RNA", at positions 189 to 1417 of the family's 1533-position model. The record is from RNAcentral.